Molecule: ribosomal RNA, 401 nt
Filed under: uncultured bacterium
Lineage: Bacteria
Description: bacterial SSU rRNA
Rfam family: Bacterial small subunit ribosomal RNA
Source: RNAcentral
UGGGGAAUCUUGGACAAUGGGGGAAACCCUGAUCCAGCGAUGCCGCGUGAGUGAUGACGGCCUUAGGGUUGUAAAGCUCUUUUCUCCGGGACAAUAAUGACGGUACCGGAGGAAUAAGCCCCGGCUAACUUCGUGCCAGCAGCCGCGGUAAUACGAAGGGGGCUAGCGUUGCUCGGAAUCACUGGGCGUAAAGGGCGCGUAGGCGGCUGAUUUAGUCGAGGGUGAAAGCCCGUGGCUCAACCACGGAAUGGCCUUCGAUACUGGUUGGCUUGAGACCGGAAGAGGACAGCGGAACUGCGAGUGUAGAGGUGAAAUUCGUAGAUAUUCGCAAGAACACCAGUGGCGAAGGCGGCUGUCUGGUCCGGUUCUGACGCUGAGGCGCGAAAGCGUGGGGAGCAAAC